Molecule: ribosomal RNA, 241 nt
Filed under: uncultured bacterium
Lineage: Bacteria
Description: partial 16S ribosomal RNA
Rfam family: Bacterial small subunit ribosomal RNA
Source: RNAcentral
GAUCCUGGCUCAGGAUGAACGCUAGCGGCAGGCCUAACACAUGCAAGUCGAGGGAGGAGCUUUCGGGCUUCGACCGGCGUACGGGUGCGUAACGCGUAUACAAUCUGCCUUUCACAUAGGGAUAGCCCGAAGAAAUUUGGAUUAAUACCUAAUGGCAUAUAGGGGUGGCAUCACCUUUAUAUUAAAGCUGAGGCGGUGAAAGAUGAGUAUGCGUUCUAUUAGCUAGUUGGAGAGGUAACGG